Molecule: ribosomal RNA, 492 nt
Filed under: uncultured bacterium
Lineage: Bacteria
Description: partial 16S ribosomal RNA
Rfam family: Bacterial small subunit ribosomal RNA
Source: RNAcentral
AGUGAACGCUGGCGGCAUGCCUAACACAUGCCAGUCGAACGGCAGCACAGUAAGCGCUUGCUCUUACGGGUGGCGAGUGGCGGACGGGUGCGGAAUACAUCUGAAGCUACAUUUCCGUGGACGAUAACGAAGGGCAACUUACGCUAAUACCGCAUACCAGGUAUGGGUGACAGCAAUGGCUCUUCGGACCUUGCGCGAUUGAAUGAGCCGAUGUCGGAUUCGCUAGUUGGCGGGGUAAGGGCCCACCAAGGCGGCGAUCCGUAGCUGGUAUGAGAGGAUGAUCCGCCACACUGGAACUGAGACACGGCACAGACUCCUACAGGAGGCAGCAGUGGAGAAUAUUGGAGAAUGGGCGAGAGCGUGAUACAGGAAUACCGCGUGAGUGAAGAAGGAGUUCGGGUUGUAAAGCGCUGUUGGUGGGAAAGAAAAGAAGCCGGUUAAGCCGGGGCUGUUCUGACGGUACCCAAAGAAGAAGCCCCGGCUAACUUCGUG